GCUGGGUGUGGUGGUGCACACCUACAGUCCCAGCUACUUGGGAGGCCGAGGCGGGUGGAUCACUUGAGCCCGGGAGGUCAAGGCUGCAGUGAGCCAUGGUUGCACCACUGCACUCCAGCCUGGGCAACAGAGUGAGAUCCUAUCUCAA
Molecule: unclassified non-coding RNA, 148 nt
Organism: Macaca mulatta (Rhesus monkey)
Lineage: Eukaryota; Metazoa; Chordata; Mammalia; Primates; Cercopithecidae
Rfam family: Metazoan signal recognition particle RNA
About the family: The signal recognition particle (SRP) is a universally conserved ribonucleoprotein. It is involved in the co-translational targeting of proteins to membranes.
Source: Ensembl